Molecule: ribosomal RNA, 897 nt
Filed under: uncultured bacterium
Lineage: Bacteria
Description: bacterial SSU rRNA
Rfam family: Bacterial small subunit ribosomal RNA
Source: RNAcentral
UAGAGUUUGAUCCUGGCUCAGAUUGAACGCUGGCGGCAUGCUUUACACAUGCAAGUCGAACGGUAACAGGGUGCUUGCACCGCUGACGAGUGGCGAACGGGUGAGUAAUGCGUCGGAACGUGCCGAGUAGUGGGGGAUAACGCAGCGAAAGUUGUGCUAAUACCGCAUACGUACUGAGGUAGAAAGUGGGGGACCUUCGGGCCUCACGCUAUUCGAGCGGCCGACGUCUGAUUAGCUAGUAGGUGAGGUAAAGGCUCACCUAGGCGACGAUCAGUAGCGGGUCUGAGAGGAUGAUCCGCCACACUGGGACUGAGACACGGCCCAGACUCCUACGGGAGGCAGCAGUGGGGAAUUUUGGACAAUGGGCGAAAGCCUGAUCCAGCCAUGCCGCGUGUCUGAAGAAGGCCUUCGGGUUGUAAAGGACUUUUGUCAGGGAGGAAAUCCCUAGUGCUAAUAACACUGGGGGAUGACAGCACCUGAAGAAUAAGCACCGGCUAACUACGUGCCAGCAGCCGCGGUAAUACGUAGGGUGCGAGCGUUAAUCGGAAUUACUGGGCGUAAAGCGUGCGCAGGCGGUUUGAUAAGCCAGAUGUGAAAUCCCCGAGCUCAACUUGGGAACUGCGUUUGGAACUGUCAGACUAGAGUGCGUCAGAGGGGGGGUGGAAUUCCGCGUGUAGCAGUGAAAUGCGUAGAGAUGCGGAGGAACACCGAUGGCGAAAGCAGCCCCCUGGAUGACACUGACGCUCAUGCACGAAAGCGUGGGGAGCAAACAGGAUUAGAUACCCUGUAGUCCACGCCCUAAACGAUGUCAAUUAGCUGUUGGGGGUUAGAAUCCCUGUAGCGUAGCUAACGCGUGAAAUUGACCGCCUGGGGGAGUACGGCCGCAAGGUUAAAACU